This 26-nucleotide microRNA is filed under the name Mus musculus (house mouse). Its description in RNAcentral is "mmu-miR-7032-5p". The record is from miRBase by way of RNAcentral. Lineage: Eukaryota; Metazoa; Chordata; Mammalia; Rodentia; Muridae.
CCCAGGGUGGUCCCCGAGAGGGUGGU